GCAUGUGCUUUCAUCAAGACUUUCAAUAUCUACAGGUCUUGUUGGAGGCUGAACAUCAGCUGAGCAGCAUCUGUUGAUAUCCACAGAUGAGGAYGAAGACCCUUUUCUYUGCCUUUCUUUACAACUGUUACAUCUAGGACAAAAACAAUUCUCUUUUUCAAUUUGAGAAAAAAGUAAUGGGUGAAUCAAUAAGGAUGCUGACCUUGCUUUGUUGUCUUCAUUGUUUUCUGCUGACAGUUUAAGAGAUGAUGUUUGACAUCUUAAUUUUGAUGGACAUUUACAAUAUCUGUCACAAYGUUGAAGUUUCACCAGGGAAAUGAUGAUGAUAAUGAGAUUCAAGCCAAGACAAAUAACCUGAAUUAUGAGACAAGGCAUCUGAAAGGAAAUUCAGUCAGAUAUUAUUGGAAACUUCACAAUGAAAUGUUUCAAGGGCAACUAAUUCUGUUUAUUUUACAUAAAUUCAAUGAACUAGCCAACUGCAUGAGCAUUUCCACAUUUCCACAAAACUCCCUGAUUUGUAUGCAGCCUGCAGGCCUUAACAAGCAUGAAUCAAAAUCCAACCCACAAAGACUUGGUUGAUUCCAAAUACGGUUUGACURACCUGAUUCUGUGCAUAUGAUAUGAAGGCCUGGGUGUCUGACUCRGGCUGGUUAAGGUCCACAAUACACAUCUUGAUGCCCGUAAGUAUAAAAGGGAUCCUAAAUGAAAAAAUUAGAACAAAAAAUAAAUGGAUGCAUGAAUAAAAGAAUAAGUACAGUAUGGAAAGAAAGAUGGAUAAAAAAACAAAUGACUGCUUGCAUGCCUCAAUGAGUUGAUAGGAGAAUAAAUAUUGCUAAUGAAUACAUAUACGAAACUGAAUAAAUAAUGAAUAAAUACAUGACAAUGCUCAAAAAUAUGCCAUUUAAGGAAAAGCAAACAAGGGAAAUGACAUAAAUAUUUUCAAAAAUUGAAAAACAAUAUACAAGACUAACCCAAAUCCAUAAGAGUAAAUCCAAGGUUKCCAAAACUUCAUUUUACCAUCRCACCUGACAAGGUAAAGUGCAAAUGGCACCAUUGCUGUCCAGCAAUGACAGAGAAGUUCUGUCACACUUACAAAAAGAAAUGAUACCCAAUGCCAAGCAGUUGAUGGGUGCACAUCACACAGAAGUGAUGUUAUAGCAAASGCCACCUUAAACAAGAAUGAUCAYAAGGAAUGAAAUUAAAAAGGAAAUGAAAAACAAAAACCAUUAACUAAAAGGUGAAUGUUUCAUUUGUCUAGUACAUGAAAUAAUUUAUUCACCUGUGAGAGAACAAGACAAAAUGUAAAUCUUUGAGGAAAUAUCUUGAAGCGUCUUCCAAGAACAAACAUUGCGAUCACCCAAAGCUAAAAGCAAAAUGCUAUCAAUCAACAAUAUUAAAUUUCUGUAUAAAAUAAGGACUUUCUAGAGAAUAUACACGCACACAUGACACAUUAAAAUUAGAAAGCCUUACCCCACAAGUAAUGCUAACCACACAGGAAUCUUGGAUGGUUUCUUUGAUUGUACUGUGAUAAUGAGUGUGAAGUUGUGGUGUGUAUUUUGUUGAAAUCAUUUUUGCKGAGGUGUACAAUAUUGGUGCAGAUAGGAACGUUCCAAGCACCAUGCUUGUGGCAAUCUGGAACAAGGACAAAAGUCUUUAUGAAAACUUUGAAGCAAAAAUGACGACAGUUGGAGCAGUUGGAAUUGUGCCAUAAAGAAAAGCAAACAUACUCCAGGUAUCWGUCAAAGUUUGGUUKCUUCCUCCAACAUCUAGGAGUUGGACAAYUUCACGUGCACAUAGCGGAAGUAGCAUCCUGUCAAAGAAGGAUUUUCUGCUUGAGAGCAAAGUUUGCAAUAAUUCCAAUAAAUGUCAUGAAGACGAUAGGAUUAGUGAUGACUCCUUUGAUUGUUGCCAUAG
Long non-coding RNA from Exaiptasia diaphana, 1914 nucleotides. RefSeq lists it as uncharacterized. NCBI's taxonomy places the organism in Eukaryota, Metazoa, Cnidaria, Anthozoa, Actiniaria, Aiptasiidae. The transcript has 3 exons. The record is from RefSeq and is a predicted model, not a curated record.